RNAcentral lists this ribosomal RNA (447 nucleotides) under Cardinium endosymbiont of Bemisia tabaci. Its description in RNAcentral is "bacterial SSU rRNA". It matches the Rfam family "Bacterial small subunit ribosomal RNA", at positions 215 to 659 of the family's 1533-position model. Lineage: Bacteria; Pseudomonadati; Bacteroidota; Cytophagia; Cytophagales; Amoebophilaceae. The record is from RNAcentral.
GCGGUGUAAAAUGAGCGUGCGUCCUAUUAGCUAGUUGGUGAGGUAAUGGCUCACCAAGGCUACGAUGGGUAGGGGUUCUUAGUGGAAGGUCCCCCACACUGGCACUGAGAUACGGGCCAGACUCCUACGGGAGGCAGCAGUAGGGAAUAUUGGUCAAUGGGCGCAAGCCUGAACCAGCCAUGCCGCGUGCAGGAUGAAGGCUCUCUGAGUUGUAAACUGCUUUUGUACAGGAGCAAAAAAAUCCCUGCGGGGGUUCUUGAGAGUACUGUAAGAAUAAGCACCGGCUAAUUCCGUGCCAGCAGCCGCGGUAAUACGGGAGGUGCAAGCGUUAUCCGGUUUUAUUGGGUUUAAAGGGUGCGUAGGCGGCUUAUUAAGUCAGUUGUGAAAUCCUAGUGCUUAACGCUGGAACUGCUAUUGAUACUAUUAGGCUUGAGUUAAAGAAGAGGU